AUGAUGUUCAUAGAUCAAUCAAGAACAAUCAAACACCACCUUCUGAGGAACAGCUUAAAGCUCUUGAAGAGUACAUCAAAUCGGUUCGUCGUUCACCUUAAUAUCCGUGGCACAUGUUACACCACGUCAUUCCUAUCUUCUCACACAACAACAACAACAACUGCUUACUCCUACUUCUUAAAUAAAAUGUCAUAUUUGCACAAAUAA
Non-coding RNA from Vicia faba (fava bean), 207 nucleotides. The record is from the annotation of a GenBank genome assembly. Lineage: Eukaryota; Viridiplantae; Streptophyta; Magnoliopsida; Fabales; Fabaceae.